UACAGAGGUCCCAAGCGUUGUUCGGAUUCACUGGGCGUAAAGGGUGCGUAGGCGGUCGGGUAAGUCUGAUGUGAAAGCUCGGAGCUCAACUCCGAAAUGGCAUCGGAUACUAUUCGGCUCGAGGAAUGGAGGGGAGACUGGAAUACUUGGUGUAGCAGUGAAAUGCGUAGAUAUCAAGUGGAACACCAGUGGCGAAGGCGAGUCUCUGGACAUUUCCUGACGCUGAGGCACGAAAGCCAGGGGAGCAAACGGGAUUAGAAACCCGCGUAGUCC
RNAcentral lists this ribosomal RNA (273 nucleotides) under uncultured bacterium. RNAcentral's name for it is "partial 16S ribosomal RNA". It matches the Rfam family "Bacterial small subunit ribosomal RNA", at positions 524 to 796 of the family's 1533-position model. The record is from RNAcentral.